GAGGUGGAAGAGUUGUUGUGGUGUUUUGUUGGAGGAGAGUGAGUCUAUGUGGUGUAGUUGAAGUGAGAGAGGUUCAGAGUCGGAUAGAGAUUCUUGUUCUGAUUCUUGUGGCCAUGAGAGGGUUGAAGGGUUAGGGAGAGAGUGAAUAGGUAGAGUUUGGGUUUGGAAAAGAGUGGUGGUGGUGGUGGAUGAGAGUGUGAAGGAGAUAGCUAAUAAUAGGAAGAGAAGGGUUCUUUUGUUGUAGUUCUCUUCCAUUGUAGUGAGAGUGAAGAGAAAAGAGUGUGAUAUGAGAGUAGUAGAAAUGGUGAAUAAAUAAGUAGUGGUACUAGUAGUAAGUAAUAAUUGAAUGAGAAGAGAGUGAGAGUGAGGUUCGGUGCGGUUGUGUUGAAAUGAGUGUGGGGUGGCUGAGUCAGUGCAGUGAUUGUUGUCUAACCAUAUUAGAUUACAUUACCCGUGUAAAAAUGAAUUAUUAUUAUUGCGUGUAGUUGGGUAAGGUUGGUGUUGUUGGGGUAGAGCUGGAUAUCAUUACCAGUAAUUGCUUUGCCUUUAUUGUUAUUCUAGAUAGACGGGUGAGUUAUGUUAUGGAGAAUCUUUCAUUGCUUCUUGCAAUUAGUUAUGGUAAGUAGUUACACUACCAACAAGUGGCCAAUGUCCAAUUUGCUACUACUAUGUGGCCAAUGCCCCAUGCAUUUAGUGAAUUUCUAUUCAAACUAAAUUUUGUAACUAGUUUCUUACGUUUGUUCAGAAUACUAAGUUUGUAAUUUUUAUCACUAAAGUAACAUUAAAUAUCGUUAAAAAUGUGUUAAGAAAAUAUUAUUAAUAGAUAAUUUUAUCUCUAAUGUGGCAUCUCUUUUAUUUUCUUAUAAUAUUAAACUAAUUAUUAUAGUUAUAUAAUCUUUCUGUUGAGAUAAUCAUUUAAAUUUAAAUUUAAAUUUUGCAAUUCAAAACAAAAAUUAAUAGUCAAGCGGAAACUUCUGAUAGUUGUAAGUGGAAAAAAAUAUUUUGUAAUUGAUAAAAAAAUAAUUAAUAUUUGGAUAAUUUUUUCGAAGGGAAUCAGAUGAAACCAUAAAACCAUAGAAAUUAAGUGUUUGAGAGGUUUUUUUUUACAAGAGAGGAAUGUCCAUCAUUUUUGUGGUCUUUCAAGUUCUUCUUUGUAUCCGUGUCACCCCUUUUGAUCAGUGUCACCCCUUUUGAUAUUCUCUUUGGAAUCUCUUAUGUAAUUCUCCUUUCAAUCCUUUUUCUUUGACUUUUUCUAUAAUGAGAUACCCCUACGCUUCCUAUGCUUGAAUUCUCAAGGAAAUGUAUGUCGUCUCACUAAUGACUACUAAUCAUGAGUUGCAACAGUUCAAACAUCAAUUUUGUAACCUCUAUGUGACCCUGUUCGCACGGGUUUUUGGGCGAAGAAUCUCUAACCUCCUAUUGAGGUUUACUUGCAGGAUCAGCUACAAAAUCCUAGACUAAGUGUUAAGUUUAUGAGAUGUUUUAUUUAAAUGUUUGGAUUAAGAAAACAAUAGACACGAAAUGCAUGUAAAAGGUGCAAUUAAAAUAGAUGGACGAAAGACAAGAUAAACCGUAAAUGGCAAAGUAGAUAAAAAGACUUGGUAAUUUAAAUUGCUUGAAGGUAAAUGUGGACGCAAUCAUACAUUUUCGUAGGAAUGAACUUUUUUCUCUAAAUGCUUGAUACUUUGAGUGUUUUCCCUCUACAAUGUUACAAAUGCGACCUUUAAAACUAACAAUGAACUUUGCUUAAAUAGGAAAUAAAAUUAACUUCUAUUUCGCUCUUGAUGAUUAAUAGCUUGACAUGUGUUUGUCCACUUACUUUAUAACUUCUCACGUUCUUACUAUUUUCAAAUCUUACCCACGUAAACUGUCAUUUGCUUCGACUUCGACCUGCACAUUUUCUAUCUGUCGGACCUAUUUCAACUUGGCCUGUGUUCCAUAUUCGUCUUGUCUGUCGAACCCCUUCGACCAUGUUCACUCUUCUCGACGCUUCGUUUUGUGAUUCCAUACUUCUCGCUUCGAUUUUCCUCUUUUGCUUAGUCAAAAUUUGUUGGCUAACAAAUUUCCCCUUAAAAGGCCAGUUUCGAUUGAGAAACUUGGCGUUUUGUCUUUCCCAAUUUCGACUGGGUGUCUAAUCGUUGUUGAUAUCAUGCGCAAUGACGAAACCUUUAUGUGCCAUGAUUUCUAAGGGGAGAUAUCAUCAUUUGCAGUUACUUCCUAGGUCGUGGAUUUUCAACCACCUUUAUUAACUUUCCACUAUAGUAGAAACUGAACAUUUUUUUACCCUAGACUGUCUCUUGGUUGGCCUCAACUUUUGCUUACAAAUACCAUUCUUUCACAUUUUUUGUUUUCCUUCUUCUCUGUUUGCGUAUAUUUUUCUAUAACUUUCAGAACAAUAAUACUUUCCUCAUUUCCCUUCUUUCUUCCAUUAAAGUGGCCUCUUCUGCUAACGCUAUGGAUGCAGUCACCUAUAACACUGGUAACAACCCCGUUGCUUUCAACCUCACUGAAGAAGAAAUUCUAAAACCCAUUCCUCAACCAGCAUCUACUAACGAAGUUGUAGUAGAGAUUUGACAACGUCAAAUGCUCAUUCCCUUUGUUGUUGCUGAUAAAUUCCUCGCUUUCCACGAGCCAUAUCGAAAUACAAAAAUGCAAUUGAAAAACGUCCAAUCAUACUUUCCUUGCUUUACUCCAGCUGUUCCACCGGCCUUUGAGAAGAAUGGUUCCAUCGACCUGAAGUUCAUGGACCCAAAGGCCAGGGUUUUUAGGUCGAUGCCCACUCUUGGUAACAAAGAGUAUGUGGCUUGGCUCAACAAAUUCCAAAACAAACGUCAGGAAUAAUGGAAAACGGUUGGCAUCUUCGACUCCAUCCAAAUUUCGAGGAACCCCAUCGAAUCAACCCAUGUAUGUUACUUGCUUCGAUGUACUUCUGGGAAGGUUCGACUAACACCUUACAACUCCCUUAUGGCAUGUUUACGCCUACCCUUUUCGACAUGGCAGCCAUCACUGGUCUCUCAUCUCUGGGCGAAACCUUCGACCCAACUCUUUUGACGGAAAACAGUUUUGCCUUCAAUCGUGCAAGUUUUUAGAAUUACAUUGAAAAUCACUAUGAUCAGGACUCCACUGAAGUGUCCGACGAGGAACACAUUGCUUUCCUAACUCUCUAGCUCUCAUAUUAUUUGUUUUGUCAUGGCUCUCUAUAGAUAGCUAAGAGCUAUAUAAGCUUGGAGAUCCAAAAUCAUGAAGGUAGAUUGGUCUCUUUGGGCAAGCUUCUGCUAGCAUCUCUUUACCACUAUCUAGGGCUUACGACACUGAAGCUAAAGUUUCUCCACUCUACUUCUAAGGCCUUAAAUAUGUCUGGCCCUAUGUGGUGCUACAACACUAGCUAAAUGCCACUUUCGAGUAUCGGUUGGGUUAUCUUGUGUCGGUGUGUAUGAUGCGUUUGACCCAGGAUCAGCCUAUAGAAGGUGUAAGACUUGCCUUGAUGAUAUGUCAGGAGACCCCCUACAAACAUAUUUUCACGAAGUACAUUAAUAUGUUCAUUGAAGCCACCUCUUUUGUUCUAGGCAUGGCCCCUUUUGUGGAUAGAAACUUUGGUCUAACAUGGUUCAAAAACCUUUUUCCUGGUGACUCUCCAUAAGCUGUAGCACUGCCGAACACUGUGUGGAUGGCAUUUCUGACUCCCACAAUGUUGUCCUUUAGGAUAAAGAAUGGGUCGAAGGGGUAUGGAUUUAUGAACUAUCAGUCCAACUUGGUGGCUCAACAAUUUGGCUUGAGUGAGAUGCUGCCAAAAUCUUUGGUGUAUCAAUUAACUGAUAUUGUGUGGGCUGGUCAACAACUAAACUUUAAAGGUCACAAAGCUUGCCUUAAAUUUCACAAAUCGACUCAGCACCUUGAGUUACCCGUUUUCAAAUUUCACCAAUCAUUCUUAACGACCAAGGACUUCAACAAGUAGUGGUCUGAAUACCAACACAAGUAUUUCCCCAAUGCACUCUUCCUCCAAAAUUUGAUUGACGUUUUUUCUGCCCUUGCUGGUGAAACACUGGCUUCACAGCCGAAUACUGACGCUCCCGUCGAGAACAUACAAACUAUUGAUGCCGAUGAGGACCAACCAAAGAAGGUUAAUAUUGCUUUAUUUCCUUUCCUUUCUUUAAGAAGCAAAACCCACUUACCUUCUCUGUAUUUGUUUUCUAGGGUCGAAAGCGGGCUCCAGUUGCUGCGCCAUCUACUCCGUCCACUUCGGCAAGAAAGAAAAAGAAAGUUCCAGCCAAGAAACCAUCUUUAAAAACUCUUUCUUUGACUACAAAGAUUUUUGUCUCUGACGUUCUUAUUGAGAUCUUUAAACCCAUUGGUCAAGAAGAACCUAUUCCAACUUCCCCAAAACACGUAACUCCCGAGGUAUUUGAACAUUCUUGUUUGGUAACCUCAUGAAUUAUUCCUCGAUAUUGAUCCUAACUUCUUUUUGUAGGGAAAAACGGCUGAUUCGACUCUAUAAGACCCUAAUUUUGAUCCUAAGAUCCCUCAUGUUAUCUCAUCGUAUGCAUUGGGAUCACACUUUGGCAUUCUCCUUACCCCUCAUUCAUUAGGUUUGCAUUGGGAGAGAUCACCAAGCACAUUUUAUUGUAUCAUACUUCAUUUUUCUUUGUUUACUAACCAAAAUACCAAAAAUAUGUCAUUUGUAUAGAUUAACUCUUUUGUAGGUGGUGUGCAUGCUCACCUAUGCUCUAUCAAGCUCAUAUCUAGGGUUUAACACCCUCAUUGCAAGGAGCUCAAUCAAUAAUUGGUCUAUAUUGGCUCUAAUUAUCAUAUAUGAAUCCCCAUGAUCUUCACAUGUCAUUUUUAUCAAGAAACCAUCAAGAGUUGGGGGUUUUGUUUGCCUUGGAAACCCUAAUUCAUCUGGGUAUCUUGUGUGACUUCUUCAACAAAUUUCUCCAAUAAUUGAUCAAAUAUUCCAAGGUAUACUUCACAUUACAUCAUCUUAUGCAUAUAUGAUCCUCCAUGAGUCCCAAAAGUCAAGAGAAUGUCAAGCUAGCAAAUUGGUUCAUGGUGGUUGACCAGGGAAAGUUAACUGAUCAAAAUUGGGGUUCCCUGGACCCUAUCUCCUACAACUUUUGUCAUAUGAAAAUGAUUCCAAGAUCAAAGUUACUCUAAGUGACAUUUAAAACAACUUUCAGGUUGAGGUCAAGAUCUAAUUUUUCCUGGAAGGUCAUUUUUUAUGGUGAAAGAUUAUAGGGCAUUUUGUCUAAACCCUAAUUUAGAAGUCAACUUCUCAAGACCAUAACUUACUCAAUUUUCAUGAGAUGAAAGCCAAUAAAAUUUCAUAAUCAAAUUCAAGAUGUCUAAGUCAACUUUUAUGUUUGGAGGAAGUGCAAAUUCAACUUGCAAAUGCAUGUGCAAAGAGGAAACAUUAUAGGUCAUUUUGGGCCAAUACCAUUGAACAAGUGAUUUUCCUCAACUUCUAAAAUGCAUAACGCCUCCAUAACAAAUCCAAAUGAGGCCAAAUUUGUCACAAAAUUGAAUAGGUUUGAAAUAACUAUAACUUUGAUGAAGCAACCUUUCUCAUUUUAAGUUCAUAGAAAAAGUUAUUCAAGGUGGAAGAAGUGAACAUUUGACUUGGGACUUAGAAAUUUUUCAAAUAUGUUUGAUUUCUGAAACUUCCACCUCAAAAUUCAUCAUGAUCCAAGCUUCAAAUUAAAAAGUGUUUAACAUGAAAGUUGUUCCCCUUGAUCUCACCAUUCCAAAACAUCCAAGAUGAUAUCAUUUGGACCAAAAUUGAAGGACUUGCACAUGGUUUCAUUAUGGGAAGUGUUUUGGCAAGAUUGAACUUCACAUGAUCAUUUCCAUUUGCAUGUUUGCACAUGAUGGUUUCAGCAGACUUUGUACAUGAUUUGGAAGUGGAUUGCAUCACUCUUGAGGCCCAAAUGAUUGCUCAUGCACCCAUGCAAGGAAGUUGCUAAUUUUGUCCAAUUUUCAAGUGGUGCAAAUAUCAAACACAUUGCCUAUUUAAACAAGCUUAAGGCUUCAGAUUCAUGAUCAACACCUUGCCCAAGCUUUGUUAGACCUCUGCAAACCCUCACUGCCAUAGAAUUUUCUAAGAUUUCUUUUGAAAUCUAGCUUGAACUUCACCUUUUGUUUGGAAGUUAAAACCCCAGAAAGCAAUCAAAUCCAGAUCAAGAUCAAGUGAAAUUGGAUCAACUCGAAUGUGAUUUUUCAGAAAUUUCUCCUCUUCGAUUCUAUUUUAUUUAUCCACUAUUCUUGUUGAUUUUUGGUUGUCUGAAGUCCUACCAAUGUAGGCAACAAGAUUGAGUUCUUUGAGGUCAAAUCGAAGCAACUCAGUUCAUGAUCCUCAAAAUUCAACUCCCUGUAUCUUUUCAUAUACUUGGAAUUUGAUAAAAUUGAGGCCAAAUUCAAAUUCAUGAGCAUUUUUUUCUUUAAAUCCAUGUCUUGCUUUUUCAUUUUGGUGAUGGUUGAAGGUGGACCAGUCUGGUGAGGUCCACCGGAGAAGAAGAUCGGAGCUCUGUCUCCGGCGAUGUGUUGGAAGCAUCUCAACCAUAGGAUCCAUUCAAAUUAUUUUAAUCUUGAGCGUUGUUUCUAAUUACCAAGCGUGCAUCUUAGUUGACCCAUACCUUUGUGGAACGCGCGCUUUGGACCAUCUGAUCUGCCACCUCAAUUAAUGGGGGAGAUCAGAUGGUCCACGUAUUUUUGAAUUUUUGAAUUUUCAUUUUUAUUGCUUUAUUUUCAUUAAUUCAUAUUAAUUUCAUUAUUGAUCCAAAAAAUACGGGACUUUCACCAAAAAAAAUCAAAUGUUUGUCUCUUUUAUUUUCUGAAUUAAAAUUAUCUUUUGGAUCAAUAUUGGUAUUUUUUAUGAUUUAAUUGUUUUUGUGCAUAUUUUUAAUUGUUUAGAAAUACUUUUGACUUUUCAAAAAUAGUGAAAAAAUUUCUCCAAGGUCCUUUGACCUUGUUUGACCUAUGAUAAAUCUCUUGGCCAUUUAUUUCGUGUUUUGAAGAGGUUUUAGGUUUUUGAUAAAACAUAAUUUAAUUUAAUGCAUUUUAAUUUGAUUUUUAUUUGUUUAAAUUGUGAAUAAAUUGUGUUGAGUCAUUUUUAUUGACUUGUGGAGUUUGACUAUUGUGUUUGGGCCUUGGUUAAUGUUGAUUUGACUUUUGUUGGAUUAAAAUCAUUGGAUUUAGGGGAUUGAUGAAAUGUACAUUUCAUCUCCCAAAAUGAAUGAAUGAUUUUAAUUUGAUAAAAUUUCUCCCAUGACCAAUUUGUGUUUGAUUUUGUUGGAUUAAAAUCAUUGGAUUUAGGGGAUUGAUGAAAUGUACAUUUCAUCUCCCAAAAUGAAUGAAUGAUUUUAAUUUGAUAAAAUUUCUCCCAUGACCAAUUUGUGUUUGUCUCAUUCCCCCUCCCUCUUCAUCUUCAAUCCCUUUCUACCCCAUUCCUCUCAUUGGCCAAUGACAUCUCAAUAUCCCAAGGCUAAUUUAUUCAUGAACCAAUACAAGUAUGGAUGAGAUUGGGUCCACCAUUUAAUCAUUUUCUUUUUUGUGUGUGGUAUGUUUUAGGAGUAUGAUUUAUUAUACCAUAUCUCUAACAUGCAUUAACACCAAAAAAUUUAUUGCCCGACCUCAGAUAGUUGUGACUUCUACAUAAGUCCAAUUACGAUUGCUUAACAUAGCGCUAAAUUUUGAUCCAAAAGCAUAGCAUUCUAAUAAGUGAGAUUGUAAGUCUCCCCCCUUUCAUGGUAUUGUGUGGAAACUUGGUCUUUUUUCCUUCCUUUGGAAGAUAUCUUGGUUCAAGGAUCCAUGCUUGUGAAUAGAGGGUUGAGUGUUCUCCAAAGAAUGACUUAAACAAUUGAAAAGUAAAACUCCACUAACUUCUAAUCAACUAACCCUUGACUAACUCUUUAAUUUCAAGUCAUUUACUUUAUGCACUUUAAAUUCAAGCCAUUUAUCAUUUGUCAUUAUACAUAUCAUUUAACCUGUUUAUUUUUAAUGUCAUUUUCACUUUGCUCACUUAAGCCAUAGAUUGUGAUUGUAUAUAUUUGUUUGUUUAUCUUGUUUGUGUGUGUGGUCUUAGGACCUUAAAAUACUCAAUAAACAACAAAAAUCCUAAAAAUAUUUGUGUGGACUGUUGGAUUUAAUCUGAGCAUUGGACUUAGAAUUAGGCAACAUUCCCUAUGCAAAAGGACUUGGCCAAUGCCAACAUUUCUGAAACCAAGUCAUUAUGAUGUGAGCUUUCAUCUAAUGUAAGUUUUGGGAUCCACUUGAGUUCAUCUGCAACUUGGUAUUGAUGAAAAUGUUACUUUGAAUCUGUGUCUAAUGCUUUAUUCUGAGUCAUUCAAGGAGUAUGCCAUCUGAUACACGGGAGCUUAAGAAGAAGACUAUGAAGUUGCUAGCUUGGAUGUGGCUAUAUUUAUUUGAUGCAUUGCUCUUCAUAUUCCUUGUUUAUUGGUAUUUGUUUGAUUCUAAAGUCCAAAGGAAAAAUGGGUUUCUAUAUGACAUUCUUGUCUAUUGGAUUGCAUCCCAUUGGUCAGAUCUUUUCCACUCUUAACUUUUAAGUUUUUGCUUAGGACUAGUCUCUUCAUCUCCUCCCACUUCUUAAAUUUCAAAUCUCUCCCUCUUUUCAAAAAUCUUCUUUGCUUGUGAUUUUUAAACCUAGACCUUAUUGCAAACUAGAAACUUUGGCCUUAUACCAUUGCAUUUUUAAACUCUUUUCUUAAAUCAAAUUUGUAAGUGAAUCUAAUCAUAUUGACUUAAAAUUUCAAAAGACAAAAAGAACUAACACUCAUCCAAACUCUUUUAGGCCCUUUGUGCCUCUUUUUAAUUUAAAAUUUUAUUAAAUGCAAUUCACUCACUUUGAAAUUGAUACCAUAAACUACGAGGUUUUGAUCCCUCAUUUUCAUGUUGGUAUGUAGGCAUAAGUCUGAAGAUCUUGUCAAACACAAAAAUAUAAUUAAUGAGUUCUUUUCUCAUCUCCUCACUCUAUUUAUUGCAAACAUAAUUUUAUACUAAAACACAUGCACAUAUAAAAAAGGGCUUCCUAGGAGUACCUAUGACACUUUGGGUGCUAACACCUUCCCUCUGUGUAACCAACCCCUUUACCUGUAAUCUCUCGCAUUUUAUUAGUUUUGAUUUGAAAACUUCUUAUCUUUGGGUUUUGUUCGUACUUUUCCCUUUUCCUUUGGAAACAAUAAAAUCACGGUGGCGACUCUGGUUUUAUUGACGUUAAGUUUAUCCAUAACUUAAUGGUCAUGAAUUUACCGCUACAGACUCUUGCUGAGGCUAACAACAACGUAAGGGUCGAAACUGAGAAUCCAGCUGAGACUGCCACCCUUUUGAGUCCCCAAAAAAUUGAUGAGUUUCACGACACAUAUCAAAUUCAAGAUCCUUCAACCGCUGUUGGCAAAGGUAAUACAACCGCUACUAUUGGCGAAACCCUUUUGACUACUACUAGCAAUCUGAUUGGAAAAGAAAAAUCAAAUCCCCUAUCCUCUAAAAAAAUUCCCCCCUUGUGUAAGACAAAAGUUCCAAUGGUACUCUUUCUCUAGAGAAGAUUCUAUCUAUGAAGCAUCAGAAUCUAGCAGAGACAUUGAGAAGGCUAUAGAAGCAUCGCCAAGCAUCGACUGAUGUUCAACCCUCUGGCUCGACUGCCAUGCCUAUUCCAGAAAUGGAUGCUUCCGUCAUUCUCAAACUCCAACAGUGAAAAACCUAUUUGUUUGAGCGUGAAAUUUUGGUCGUCGUCGCAGAGGAAGAGGCCUUGGGGGUCGACGUCCUCAAGCUUCUUGACGAGCUUUCUCAACAUAAAGUUCCUGCUCCUGUGGCCAAAUAUCUGAUUGAAUUUGAAGCCUUCUUCACUCACCUUGUCAAAUACCUCACUCUUCAUCGGCACGUUGACUUCCAAAUUAAAACGAAGCUCAACGAGAUGAGACGAGAAUGGGACUUCAGCGAAAUUUAUGAAAGGAAACACAAUAAUUUUGAGACUAAGAAGCAAGAGCAUUUCAACUAACGACAAGCCUUUGACCAGAAAAUCUCAAACUAUCAGGCUCAAAUGGCUGAACUCGCCAAGAAAAUUGCUGAAGUCGAGAAACAAAAAGCCUCAUUAGAUUCAACUGAGACCCUGCCGGCUCAAGAUGUUAUUGAUUAGGAAGUUUUUAAAGGAAUUUCACAUGGUGAGAAGGCCUUUGAGAUUAAAGAAAGUAUUGACCAACUGCAGGAGAAGAGGGACCUCCUCGACAACAGGAUUGAUCAUGAGAAGACUCUUUUUGAAGACUUUAAGUCUAGAUUUCCUGCCUAAUGUAUUUCUCUGUCGAGACUAUGUAACUCCGCUUGGAGAUUCUGAAUGCCAUCUUGGCUUUUUCCAUUUUAGCUUUGAUCAUUAAUGACAAGUUUUAUUACCUUUUGAUUUGAAUCUCUUGGAGCAUAGGUUUAUAUUUUUUCAAAUAUUUCCCAUUUACCCUUAAGAUUUGUCGACCAAUACCCAACUCUUGAAUUUCAUAGGCAUUAUUCGUAAACGUUUGGAUUACUUGAAAUGGUCCCUCCCGAUUUGGUGACUAUUUUCCUAAAGUUUGAUCUCUUUGAUCCAUAGGUAAGAUCACCUUCCAAAAGUAAUCAUUUAUUGCAAAAGUUUCUAUCUUGGCCUUUUUAUUAUAUGCUUUAGCCACACACACUUUUUGUCGUAACAACAUGUCUAUUGCAGCCAACCUUUCUUCGUCUAAAUAGGUCUUUUCGUCGAACAUCAGUCUCCAAUAUUAUUCUGACGGAUUAUCGUUUUUCCGCUACACUCUAACUGAUUAUAAACGGAUUUUUGCUGGCAACACGACAUCAUGCCCAAAUGUCAAACAGAAAGGCGUUGAAUUGGUUACCUCCUUUGGGGGUGUUCGACAAGCCCAUAGAAUUUGAUCUAAUGUUUUAUGCCAAUUCUUAGGUUUCUUGGAAACGUUUUUUUAUUAACCCGAUUAUCACUUUAUUGGUUUCCUCAACUUGGCCAUUUUCUUGGGCGUAGUAAGGUGUGGAAGUAACCAAAUUGAAUCCUAUUUCAGCAGCAAACUCUUGCAUCUUUUGACAAACAAAAACUGAACCUUGAUUUGUAGUAAAGAUUUCAGGAAUUCCAAACCUAUGCACAAUAUGUUUUUGAAUGAAUUCAAUCACAUCCUCUUGAUCCAUUUUUAUCAAAGGGAUAACUUCUAUCCAUUUUGUGAAAUAGUCUAUACCUACCAGGAUAAAUUUUUGUUGUUUCAACGAGGCUGGUCGAAUCUCACCGAUUACAUCUAACGCCCAACCUCGAAAGGGUCGGGGAUUGAUGAUUACAUGCAACUCGUUGACUGACACAUGUUGAAUGCUUGCAUGUAUCUGACAUUCUUGACACACUUUGGAAAAGUCAAUGCAGUCUUUUGACACACUUGGCCAGUAAAUACCUUGUCAAAAUAAUAACCAUUUCAUUUUAUGGCCGUCUUAGUGAGCUCCACAUAUUCCACUAUGUACCUCAGACAUUGCCAAGUAUGCUUCAGUAUCCCUAAGAGAAACACUCCUUCUAGAGUCUUUUUCAAUAACUCAUUUCACAGACAUACAUAACUUAACGCUCUAUACUUGAUUUUCUUGUUAGUGUUUCCGACUGGAUUUUCUAAGCACUCCAUGAUUAGUUUUCUCCAAUCUGAUUGUGACAAAUUGUCAAUGGCAAAAACUUUAUGUAUUUCAUAAUUUUCAAAUUUUCCAAAAAUUUUACUUGACAUCUCCCCCCCAUUUUUUAGGAUUGCCAUUUUGGGUGACGACGAGACAUUCGACGUCAUCUUUUCUUUCACCUUCAUAAAGUCAUUGAGCCUAUCUUUUGACAAUUUAUACCCAGAUGCAAUUUGUGCUAAAUCGUUAGCUUCUUGAUUCUUUAUUCUAGGCACAUGUGUGAUGCUGACAACCUUGAAGUACUCUAAUAGGCGUUUCUCCAUUGCGAAAUACAACAUUAGAUUUUAUUUAAUGCACUUAUAUUCUCGUUGGAUUUGUUUGAUCACUAGCUCAAAAUCACCCUUUAUCUCGACCUUCUUGGCUUCUAAAUCCCUCAAGAUUUUAAGGCCAGUGAUUAGGGAUUCGUAUUCUGCCUCAUUAUUGGAACAAUUUACGUCGACUUUACAUUUGAACUUCGUCAGAAUACCUUGUAGGGAUAAUAUUAAGAUCCCAACAUCUGUUUCGUUUUUGCGACUUGACCCGUCGAAGUAUAACCUCCAUGGGUUCGUGUCGACCAUGUUUAGUGAUGGUUCGACUAUUGCAUGGUCUACAAUAAAAUCUGCCAAUAUUUGGCCUUUCAUAGACCUCAAAGGCAUAUAUGUUAAAGAAAAUUCAGUUAAUGCUAGUGCCCAUUUCCCAAUUCGACUAUGUAGAAUAGGUUUAGACAACAUAUGUUUAAUAACAUCAAAAUGAGACGAAGCAUAAACAUCAACUGGUUUUAUAUAUUGCUUUAAUUUUAUACAUUAGAAGUACAAUCAUAUGCAUAUUUUUUCAAUCAUAUUGUACCUAGUUUCAACAUCUAUUAAAAUUCGACUGAGGUAAUAAAUGGGUCUUUCGACACCACUGUCAUCCUCUUGUGCUAAGAUACUUCCUAUGGUUGUAUCUGACGCAGCAAUAUAUAACCUCAUAUUCUUAUUCAUACUAGGUGGAAAUAAAAUGAGAGGCUUUGUGAGGUACUCUUUGAUGGCGUUGAAAGCCUCUUGUUGCUCUCGUUUCUAGUGAAAAUCACUUUCCUUCUUGAUCUUGAGCAAUGGCGAGAAAACCUUUGUCUUGCCACUUAGAUUUGAUAUAAAUAUUCUCAAGAAAUUUAUCUUUCCUAACAAAGACCGGAGCUGCUUCUUUGUCGAAUGAGUCUAGAGAUCCAAAAUUGCUUUUAUUUUGUUUUGGUUGAUCUCGAUGCCUUUUUGUUGCACCAAGAAACCCAAGAAGUCUCCUGCAUGUACACCAAAAGCACAUUUUAAUGGAUUCAUUUUUAAUCCAUAUUUUCUCAUCCUCUCAAAUGAGCGUCGAAGAUGGUCCAAAUGACCAUUUUCAGAUGAAUACUUUAUCACAAUAUCAUCAAUUUAUACCUGCAUAAUAUUUUCAAUAAAAUCAUGGAAUAUGGCAUUCAUGGCUCUAUGAUAGGUUGCUCUGGUGUUUUUUUAAACCAAACAGCAUCACAACCCUUUUGUAUGUUCCCAAAGCUCUGGGGCAUCGAAAUGCCAUCUUGAGAACAUCAUUUUCUGCUAUGAGAAUCUUAUUAUAGCCAGAAUAACCAUCAAGCAUACUUAAGUAUUCAAAACCUGUGGCUGAAUCGACUAAGAUUUCUCUGGCCACUGGGAUCGAAUACUAAUAUUUUGGAGUUGCAUUGUUUAAGUCUCUAAAAUCUAUACAGACUCUAAGUGUUCCAUUUUUCUUGAUAACAGGUACUAUGUUGGCUAACCAUUUGACGUACCUUGCAGUUCUGAUGAACCUGUUGUAGCAGUAAAUUCAUGACCAUUAAGCUAUGGAUAAACUUAACGUCAAUAAAACCAGAGUCACCACCGCGCUUUUAUUGUUUCCAAAGGAAAAGGGAAAAGUACGAACAAAACCCAAAGAUAAGAAGUUUUAAAAUCAAAACUAAUAAAAUGCGAGAGAUUACAGGUAAGGGGGUUGGUUACACAGAGGGAAGGUGUUAGCACCCAAAGUGUCCUAGGUACUCCUAGGGAGCCCUUUUUAAUGUGUGCAUGUAUUUUGGUAUAAAAGAUAUUUGAAGAGUGCGUGGAUGAUAAAAGAAUUCAUUGAUUAUAUUUUUAUGUUUGACAAGACCUUCGGACUUGUGCCUACGUACCAACAUAAAAAUGAGGGAUCAAAACCUCAUAGUUCGUGGUAUCAAUUUGAAAAUGAGUGAAUUGCUUUUAACAAAAUUUUAAUAGAAAGGGGGCACAAAGGGCCAAAAAUUUGAAUGAGUGUUAUUUCUUUUUGUCUUUUGAAAUUUUAAUUCAAUAUGAUUAGAUUUAUUUAUAGGUUUAAUUUAAGAAAAGGUUUGAAAAUUCAUUGGCAUAAGGUCAAAGUUUCUAAUCAUUUAAACAGAGUCUAAGUUUGAAAUCACAAGUAAAGAAAGUUUUUUAAAAGGGGGAGAUAUUUUGAAAUUUAAGAAGUGGGAGAAGAUGAAGAGGCUAACGUAAGCAUAAAAUUAAAAGUUAAGAGUUGAAAAGAUCUGACCAAUGGGAUGCAAUCCAACAGACAAGAAUGCUAUAUAGAAAAUGCAUUUUCCCUUUGGACUUUGAAUCAAGCAAUAAUCAAUCAAGAAAUUAGCAAUAUCAGACACCAUGGAGAUCAAGGCAUCAAAUAAAGACAGCCACAUCCAAGCAAGAAAAUCCCAUAGCUAGUAGUCUUCUUUGUCUUCUCAUGUAUCAGAUGAAAUACUCCUUGAUUAACUCAGAAUAAGGCAUUAGACACAAGAUCAAAAUAACAGUUGCAUCAAGACCAUGUAGCAGAUGAGUUCAAAUAAAUCCCAAUACUUGCACCAGAUAAAGGCCCAAUUCACAAUAACUUGGUCUCAAAAUGUUGGCAUUGGCCAAGUCCUUUGCAUAUGGAAUGCUGCCUAAUCCUAAGUCCAAAAGUUCAAAUCAAGCUCAACAGUCCACUCAAACAUUUUUUAGGGUUUUUGUUUUUUAUUAGGUAAUUUAAGGUCCUAAGACCAUAAAAAGAAUCAAAAUACACAAGUAAAUAUAUACAAUCACAAUAUAUGGCUCAAAUGAGCAAAGUGAAAAUGACAUAAACAUAAACAAGUUAAAUGAAAUGGAAAUGGCAAUGAAUGGUAAAUGACUUAGAAGUUAAAUUACAUAAAGUAAAUGACUUGAAAGUAAAAGCAGUAUUAAUAAGAGUUAGUCAAAUGUUAGUCAAGGUUAAUUGAAUGUUAGUGAUAUUUUGUUUUUCAAUUGAUUAAGUCAUUCUUUGGAGAAUACUCAACCAUCUAUUCACAAGUAUGGAUCCUUGAACUAAGACAUCUUCCAUAGGAAAGAAAAAAGGCCAAGUUUCUGCACAAUACCAUGAAAGAUGGGAAACUGACAAUCUCACUUACUAGAAUGAUAUGCCUUUAGGGUCAAAAUUUAGCUUUAUGUUAAGCAAUCAUAAUUGGACUUAUGUAGAAGUCACAACCAUCUGAGGUCGGGCAAUAAAAAUUUAGGUGUUAAUGCAUGUUAGAGAUUUGAUAUAAUGGACCACACUCCUAAAACAUACCACACACUAAAAGAAAAGAUCAAAAGAAAUGGACCUAUCUCAUCCAUAUUUGUAUUGGUUUAUCUGACACAAGGUCACUGAUGAACCAAUUAGCCUUAAGAUAUUGAGACUUCAUUGUUCUAUGAAAGGGAUGGGAAAAGAAUAGGGGUGAAGAAUGAAGGGGGGGGGGGAGAGGGGGUGAGAGAAACAAAAAUUGGUCAUGGGAGGAAUUUUACCAAAUUAAAAUCAUUCUUUCAUUUUGGGAGAUGAAAUAUAUAUUUCAUCAAUCCCCUAAAUCCAAUGAUUUUAAUCUAAUAAAAAUCAAAUCAAUCUUGACCAAGGCCCUAACAAAUAGUCAAACAUCACAAGACCAUAAAAAUGACUCAACAUAAUUUUUACACAAUUAAUCAAUUAAAAAAUCAAAUUAAAAUGCAUUAAAAUACAAAUUUGUUUGGUCAAAACCUAAAACCUCUUCAAAACACCAAAUAAAUGGCCAAGAGAUUUAUCAUAGGUCAAGCAAGGUCAAAGGACCUUAGACAAAAAAUUUCAUGAUUUUUAAAAAGUUAGAAGUAUUUUUAAACAAUUAAAAAUAUGCACAAAAACAUUUAAUUCAUGAAAAAUAUCAAAAUUAAUCCAAAAAAUUAUUUUAAUUCAGAAAAUGAAGAGAAAAAUAUUUAAAGAUUUUUGGCGAAAGUCCCAUAUUUUUUGGAUUAAAAAUGAAAUUAAUAUAAAUUAAACAAAAUAAAGGGAUUAAAUGAAAAAUCAGAAAAUAAAAAGAAAUUAAAAAAAACAAGGGCCAUCAGAUCUCCCUCAUUAAUUGAGGUGGCAAAUCUGAUGGUCAAGCGCGCGCUUCCAUCCAACACCUCAGUCAAUGUGUGUACACACGUGGUAUGCAAAAGCAAGGGCUAAGAUUAAAACGUUGAACCAAUAUCAGAUGGUUGGAACCUUGCCAACACACCACCGGAGCCCUAGCUCCGGUCAUCUUCCCCGGUGAGGGCCACCAGACUGGUCCAACCUAAACUUCAUGAAAAAUGGAAAACAAGGACACUAAUUUGAAUUGAAAAUGCUCAGGAUCACAAAUCUAGCCUCAAUUUUCUCUAAUUCCAAGUAUAAAAUAAGAUACAUGGAUUUGAAUUUUGAGGAUCAUGAACUGAGUUGCUUCAAUUUGACCUCAAAGCAACUCAAUCUUCUUACCUAUAUUGGUAGGACUUCAGCCAACCAAAAAUCACAAAGAAUAGUGAAGAAUUGAGAGAGAAUCGAAGAGAUGAAGUUUCUGAAUUUUCACCUUCAAGUAGCUUCAAAUUUGCUUGAUCUUGAUUUGGAUUUGCUUGAUUCCUCUUCCUCUUGCUUGCAGUGACCAAUUUAGAUGGAAAGGGCAAUGCAAUCUUGAAGUUUGAAUUUCAAAACAAAAGGUGAAAUUCAAACUCGAUUUCAAUGAAAUCCUCAAAAAAUUUUAUGGAAUGAGGGGUCUGAGUUGUCUUGGCAAAGCUUGGGCAAGGUGCUCAUGCAUUUCUGAGCUCAUAGCACUUGUAUUUAUAGCCUUUUCAAAUGCUUUCCACACAAUUCCUUUAAAAAUCCAAAAAUAACAAUUACCUCAUGCAAGCUUGCAUGAACGUGUACAAAGCCUAAAGAAUGAUUGGAAUUGGUCCAAAAUCAUGCACAUGUGAUGCUGAAAGCAAUUCAUGAAUCCAUGCAAUGUAGAAUAGAAAUUGGUCAUGAGAAUCUUCCAAAUGGGACCAUUCAUUACACCCAUGCACAAGUCCUUCAGUUUUGAUCCAAAUGAGAUGAUCUUGGACUUUUUGGAAAGGUGAGACUAAGGGGGACAACUUUCAUGUUGAAAACUUUUCCAUUUGAAGCAUAGAUAAUGAUGCAUUCUAAGAUGGAUGUUUGGAAAAUCAAACAUACUUGAAAAUUUUCUAAGUACCAAGUCAAAUGUUCACUUCUUCCACCUUGAAUAACUUUUGCUAUAGAUUUCAAAUGGAAAAAUUUCCUUCAUAGAAGUUGUAUCUAUAUCAAACCUCUUCAAUUUGGUCACAAAUUUGACCUCAUUUGAAUUUGGCAUGAAGGAGUUAUGCAUUUUAGAAGUUGGGGAAAAUCACUUGUUUAAUGGUAAUGACCCAAAAUGACCUAUAAUGUUUCCUCUUGGCACAUGAAUUUUAAAGUUUAAUUUGAACUUAUUCCACACAUAAACAUUGAAUAUGACAUCUUGAAUUUGAUCAUGGAGCUUGAAUGGCUUUCAUAUCAUAAAAAGGAGCAAGUUAUGGUCUUGGGAAGUUGACCUCCUAACUAGGGUUAGGACAAAAUGACCUAUAAUCUUUCACCAUAAAAAAUGCCUUUCCAAGAAAAACUAGAUCUUGACUUAAACAUUAAAGUUAUUUUAAAUGUAACUAUGAGUAACUUUGCUCUUGGAGUCAUUUUCAUAUGACAAAAAUUGUAGGAGAUAGGAUCUAGGGAACCCCAGUUUUGACCAGUUGACUUUCUCUGGUCAACCACCAUGAACCAUCUUGCUAGCUUGACAUUCUCUUGAUUUUUGGGACUCAUGGAGGAUCAUAUAUGAUGUCUAGAGCUAAUGUGAACCAUAUCUUGAUUAGUCUCCUUACAUUGAGGGUCUUAAACCCUAGAUGUAAAUUUGAUGAGGCAUUAGUGGACACACACACACACUACCUACAAAAGCAACAAACUUUACAUUGACAUAUUUUUGGUAUUUUGGUUAGUAAGAAUAAUGAAAAAUAAAGUAUGAUACAAUCGUGAUGUGCUUGGUGAUCUCUCUCAAUGUAAACCCAAUGAAUGGGGGGUAAGGAUGAUGCCAAGGUGUGAUCCCAAAGCCAAUGCAUAUGAUGAGAUAGCAUGAGGGAUAUUAGGGUCUAAAUUGGGGUCUUACUGUAAGUUAGGAAUGAGCUUAAGAGGGGGGGGUUGUAACACCCUUCUAAAAUACCCCAAUAAUUAAUUAAAACAACAAAUAUAAAUCAGAGUAGAUAUGCAAUUAAGGAUGUCACACUUGACACUUCACACCAUUCACCAAAAUAGUUUGUCAUGCUCAUUUAUUAAUCAAAAUGAAAUAUUGCACAAUUCGCAGCGGAUAUGCAACCAUGUAACACAUUACAUGUAAAACUGUUCAACAACCACAAAUGAAAACAAAGUAAACAUCCCGUCCCGAUGUUACAUCUACCGGAGCAUGACCCACUAAGGAACUACACUAGACUCCAAGCACUAGCUUCUACUCAAUCACUGCUCGUUACCUGAAACAUAGUUGUAAGGUAGUCCUCAAUCGAUAUAAUAAGCAUUAUAAAAUAUAUGUAAUGCUAAGUAAAUUAACACAUUUCAUCACCCUAAUCAUAUCACACAUUCAGCACCGGCAACAUCAAUCAUAAUCAUACUCACAACAACACAACACAACACAAAACACACGUAUAAUAUUGGAAUACAUCCAUUCAUAUUAUACGCCAUACAUACAUUAUGCAAUGAGACUCCAUGCAUGCGGUACCGGACUAUUCGUGAACACAUAGUUCAACCUCCCCGAUCAAACCCAGAUACGCUACAAGCUCACUAGUCCCACUCAUUUGAGACCUAGUGACUUACUCACUAAUUCCUCACCAUGGGAAUUAGCUACCACCCCAAGGGCUAUGCUUGCACGCUAAAUCACCUAGCAUGCAAACAUCAACAAUAAUCCACAAUAACUCACUCACUAAUUCCUCACCAUGGAAUUAGCUACCACCAUAAGGCCAUACUAUGCACCGCCAAAUCACCGCUACAUGCAACCAUCAACAACAAUCUACAAUGGACAUAUGCUCACACUCUAAGCCAUAACAAUCCAUCCACAAUGCAUACAUACAGAUACAUUCACAGCAUUAGCAUACCAUCAUACAUCAUCAACAUAUUUAUCACAGAAUCAUUAUUCAUAUCAUGCCAAAUAAUAAAUCACAGUAUUAGCACACUCUACUAAUAUCUAUACUGCUCAAAACAACGGGAAAUGAUCUACUAUAUCAUACACCAAUAUAGGCCAAACGUCAAAUAUGUACACAUAUUUGAUAACAUUUCCACUUUCACACAACAGGUAACCGGUUAACGCCCUGGGUUAACCGGUUAACGCAACACAGAACACGCUCCUGGCACUUUAACAGUGUUAACCGGUUAACACCCUGGGUUAACCGGUUAACGCAAGACAGACAGCAAUAUUUCUCAAUUCAUAACAGUGUUAACCGGUUAACACCCUGGUUAACGGUUAACGCAAGAACAGAAAGCUGUUCCUGCGCUAACACGAAGCAGAAUGCAGAAUUCUCCGCAUUUUCCGCCGUUGGAGGACUUCCGGACCUCCGAUUCCAAUUCCGUAAAAAGCUACACGUUCGGAAAAUCACAACUCACCCAAAUAUAGAUUCAAUUACAGCUUAAUCAUAACUUAUCAUCACAAUUUUUUCAGCACUCAUCAUCCCAAUUAGGGUCAAUUCAACGGCUUAUUACUACCCAUUACAUGUUAACCCAUAAUACCAUAAACGACGAUAAACCCCCCUUACCUGAGUUAAUCCGGCAAUCCUUUAGCUUCAAGCUUUUCCCUUCUUCAACCCUCGUUCUCUUGUUCUUCCUCCUUGCCCUUUUCUCACUUUCUGUCGCUUCUCUGGUUUUCACGUGAAAAACCCUUUUUACCAAAUGGAACUUAUAUAUAUUCCAACUUUAUUAUUCCAAUAAUAAUAAUUCCAAAUAAUUCCAAUAAUAAUCCAAUUAUUUAAUUAAAUUAAUAAAUAUACUAUUAACUUAUUUAAAUAAUUAUCAUAUUUUAUACGGGGUGUUACAACUCUCCCCCACUAAAAGAGUUUCGUCCUCGAAAACAUACCUCAAGCGAAUAACUCUGGAUAAGACUCCUUUCAUCUGACUCUCAAGUUCCCAAGUCACAUUGCCACCUGCUGGUCCUCCCCAAGCUACCUUUACCAAAGCAAUCUCUUUACCCCGCAACUGCUUCAACUCUCGAUCCUCGAUCCUCAUAGGUGAUGUUUCAACAGUCAGGUUAUCUCUCACCUGUACAUCAUCUACUUUGACCACAUGCGACGGAUCAGAAUGCCCCUCAUACUAGCACACAUGAAAACCUCAUGCAAUUCGCAAGUGACGGCGGUAAAGCGAUACGAUAGGCUACCUCCCCUAUCCUCUCCAAAAUCUGAUAAGGACCAAUAAAUCGAGGUGUCAACUUCUUCGACUUCAAAGCUCGACCAACCCCAGUUACCGGAGUAACACGAAGAAACACAUGAUCUCCCUCUUGAAACUCAAGUGACUUCCUCCUCUUGUCGUGAUACUCUUCUGACGACUCUGAGCAAUCCUCAUCUUCUCCUGAAUCAUCUUAAUCUUUUUCGUAGUUUGUUGAACAAUCUUCGGUCCACCACAACACUCCACCGGACUCAUACCAACAUAAAGGUGUCCGACAUCUCCUACCAUACAAAGCUUCAAACGGUGCCAUACCAAUGCUCGAAUGAAAACUAUUGUUGUAGGUAAACUCAAUCAAAGGUAAAUAACAAUCCCACGCACCUCCCUUUUCCAAACACAAGCCCUCAAAAGAUCCUCCAUGACUGAAUCGUCCUCUCAGUCUGACCAUCAGUCUGCGGAUGAUAUGCAGAACUCAAUCUCAGCUUAGUUCCAAAGCCUCUUGCAAACCUUCCCAGAACUUCGAUGUAAAUCUAGGAUCUCUGUCCGAAACAAUACUCGACGGAAUACAUGCAAACUUACAAUCUUCUCAAUAUACAACUCAGCUAAUCUCUCUAACGGAUAAUCCAUUCUGAUCGCGAAAUGAAAUGAGCCGAUUUUGUCAAUCUGUCAACAUCACCCAAUAGCUUCAAAAUUCUUAAUUGUCCUCGGUAAACCAGAAACAAAAUCCAUACUGAUACUAUCCCACUUCCACUCUGGAAUAGCCAACGGUUUGCAUUAGCCCAGACGGCUUCUGAUGCUCAAUCUUUGACUUCUGACAAGUCAAACAAGAAUAAACAAAACUCGCAAUUUCUUUUUUCAUUCCCGGCCACCAAAUAACUUUUUCAAAUCAAGAUACAUCUUCGUAGCCCCAGGAUGAAUACUCAGGCCACUACGAUGUCCUUCCUCAAGAAUACUCUUCUUAAGUUCUACACACUCCGGAAUACACACCCGAUUACCAAAUUUCAAAACCAUUCUCAUCAACUCUGAAUUCACCACCUUGACCUUGAUUCACUAGAGUCAACUUAUCAACCAAAAGCACAUCGGAUUUCUGACCCUCUCUAAUCUCAUCCAGAAUACCACUCGUUAACUUCAACAUUCCCAAUUUAACACUAUUGUGAGUACUCUCACACACCAAACUCAAGUCUCUAAACUGCUCAAUUAAAUCCAAUUCCUUAACCAUUAACAUAGACAUAUGCAAUGAUUUCCGACUCAAUGCAUCAGCCACUACGUUUGCUUUACCCGAUGGUAAUUCAAACCAAAGUCAUAAUCCUUCUAGAAACUCUAACCAUCUCCUCUGUCUCAUAUUCAGCUCUUUCUGAUCAAACAAAUACUUUAAACUCUUAUGGUCACUGAAAACCUCAAAUCUUGACCCGUACAAGUAAUGCCUCAUAAACUUCGAACAAAUACCACAACUGCCAACCUCUAAAUCGUGUGUCGGAUAGUUCCUCUCAUGAACCUUCAGUUGUCUCGAACAUAAGCUACAACCUGCUUAUUCUGGCAUCAAACACCACCCCACCCAACAAUGAAGCAUCACACAAGUAACCUCAAAUGGUUCUGACGGACUUGGUAAUAUCAGAAUAGGAGCAGUAGUCAACCUUCUCUUUAACUCUGUGGAAACCUUCUUCACAUUUUGAGUCCCAAACAAACGCUUGCCCCUUUCUAGUCAACAUCGUUAACGAGGAUGCACUUAGAAAAUCCCUCAAUGAAUUUCCUAUAAUAACACUGCAAGUCCAAGAAAACUCCUUAUCUCAAAAAACUGACUUCGAGCUUCCAUUAGAUACCGCUUCUAUCUUAGAAGGAUCAACAGCAAUACCACCCCUUGAAAACCACCAUGACAAAAAACUAACCUCUUCUAACCAAAAUUCACACUUGGACAGUUUAGCAAAUAACUUCUUUUCUCGUAGAACUCCUAAAACUACCACUCUCAAAUGUUCACAUGCUCUUUCUCAGAUUUCGAUACACUAAAAUAUCGUCAUAAACACCACAAACAAACUUGUCUAGGUACGGAUGGAAAAUCCUAUUCAUAUACUCCAUAAAUACCCAGGCGCAUUAGUCACACCAAAAGGCAUUACAGAAUACUCAUAAGUCCAUACCUUUGUUCUGAAAGCAGUCUUCUGAAUAUCCUCAGUUUUCACACGUAUCUGAUGAUACCCCCGAUCUCAAAUCUAUUUUGCUGAACACACUCGCACCAACCAACUGAUCCAUCAAAUCAUCAAUCCUCGCAAAGGAUACCGAUUUUUGAUCGUACUUUAUUCAGUGCCUGUAGUCCACACACAACCUCAUAGUACCUUCUUUCUUCUUAACCAAUAACACUGGUGCAUCCCGUGGCCCACUGACCUCGGACGAAUAAAUUUCUUAUCCAACAAAUCUUCCAACUGACUUUUCAAUUCAGUUAACUCAACAGCAGACAUACGGUACGGAGCCGUCAAUAUCGGCCUAGUACAGGUACCAAAUCAAUCGAGACUCAACUUCACGCUGGCGGUAAUUCAUUCACUUCUUCAGGAAACACAUCAGGAAAAUCACACACCACAGCUAGAUCGCAAAUCGCCAGUUUAUCUUUAGCCUCCAAAGUCGCUAACAGCAUAAACAACUCUGCCCCAUCUGCUACUGCCAUUAUUCACCUGCCUUGCUGAUAGAACAAACUCUUUCCUUCCUCCAUCUCAGGAAAGAUCACAGUCUUAUCAAAACAGUUGAUAUAAACUCGGUUAAACACCAACCAGUUCAUACCCAGGAUAACAUCAAUCUGCACUAGUGGAAGACACACGAGGUCCAUUCCAAAGUCUCUACCAAAAAUACUCAAAGGACAAUUUAAACAAACUGAAGUAGUGUCACUGAACCCUUCGCAAGGAGUAUCAAUCACCAUACUCCCAUGCAUUCAGAUAUCUCUAAUUUAAGUUCACAGCACAAUCCAAAGAUAUAAAGGAAUGAGUCGCACCUGUGUCAAUAAUAGCUACAAGAGGAAACCAUUAAUAUACACGUACCUCGGAUCAACGAUCAUCUGUAGAGGUCUCAGAACCCGAUAAAGCAAAGACCUUGCCUCCCGACUGGUUCUCUCUCUUCGGCUUAGGACACUGUGACUGAUAUGACCCACCUCUCCACAGUUGAAACAAGUCACAGUCUUCAACCGGCACUCUGCAGCCAAGUGACCACUUUUCCACACUUGAAACACUUCUUCUUAGUACUGGUACACUCAUGGAUACGUGUUCAGCCUGACCACAUCUGUAACACUUAGCAGGGGCACUGGAGUCUCCCCCACUAGGUCUCUUCAUCCCACUCUGUCUCUGGAACCCUUGCCAACUGCAUACGGUUUUCCACGAUCAUUCUGAUCUUGCCUUUCCUAUCAACCCUCUGCUGAUAGCUCUCCGCUCUGGCCUUGGUAUCCUGUUCAAAAAUCCUGCAACAGUCAACCAAGUCAGAAAACACUCUAAUCCGCUGAUACCCAAUAGCCUGCUUGAUCUCGGCGUAACCCGUUCUCAAACUUCACACAUUUUGAAAAUCCCCAGUAGCCUCAUCAUAGGGAGUGUAAUACUUCGACAGCUCUGUGAACUUAGCAACAUACUCAGUAACAGACCGGUUGCCGCUGCUUCAAUUCUAAGAACUCUAUCUCUUUCUUUCCUCUGACAUCCUCUGGAAAGUACUUCCUCAGGAAUCUCUCUCUGAACACCGCCCAAGUGAUCUCAGCAUUCCCAGCAGCUUCCAACUCAGUGCGGGUAGCAACCCACCAUCAUCUGCUUCCUCUGACAGCAUAUGCGUACCGAACCUGACCUUCUGGUUAUCGGCACACUCAGCCAUCGGAAGAUCCUCUCGAUCUCCUUCAACCACUUCUGAGCACCAUCUGGAUCGUAUGCUCCCUUAAACAUUGGGAUUGUUCUUCUGGAACUCACUCAGUUGACGAGCAGCUCCAAUCCACCACAUUCGGAUUCCCUCCAAGUACUCCAGCUAGCAUACCCAGAGCCUCAGCAAUCGCAGCAUCCUUACCUCUUCCAGCCAUUUCUAUUCUGAAAACCCAACAAGCUAAAACAAUAAGUACUGAUAGGGUUACACACACACCUUCACGUACAGGGAAACAAAAUAAUUACGACUCGACUCGACCGACUAUGUUCUGAUACCCACUAAUGUAACACCCUUCUAAAAUACCCCAAUAAUUAAUUAAAACAACAAAUAUAAAAUCAGUAGAUAUGCAAUUAAGGGUGUCACACACUUGACACUUCACACCAUUCAAAAAAGUUUGUCAUGCUCAUUUAUUAAUCAAAUGAAAUAUUGCACAAUUCGCACAGCGGAUAUGCAACCAUGUAACAUUACUGUAAAACUGUUCAAAACACAACCACAAAAUGACAAAGUAAACAUCCCGUCCCGAUGUUACAUCUACCGGAGCAUGCCACAAGAACUACACUAGACUCAAGCACAAUAGCUUCUACUCAAUCACCCUACACUGUCAAUUACCAUUCGAAACAUAGUUGUAAGGGUGAGUUCCUCAAUCGAUAUAUAGCAUUAUAAAAUAUCAUGUAAUGCUAAGUAAUUAACACACAUUUCCAUCACCCUAAUCAUUACAACAUAUCCAGCACGGCAACAUCAAUCAUAACAUCAUCACACAAACACAACACAAACAAAAACACAAACAAACACACACAACACUAUAAUUUGGAUACUCCAUUCAAUUAUACGCCAUACAUACAUUAGCAAUGAGACUCAUGCAUGCGGUACCGACUAUUCGUGAACACAUGUUCAACCUCACCGAUCAACCCAGAUACGGCUACCAAGCUCACUAGUCCCACUCAUUUGAGACCUAGUGACUCACUCACUAAUUCCUCACCAUGGAAUUAGCUACCACCCCAAGGCUAUGCUAUGCACGCUAAAUCACCUAGCAUGCAAACAUCAACAACAAUCACAAUAACUCACUCACUAAUUCCUCACCAUGGGAAUUAGCUACCCACCAUAAAGGCCAUACUAUGCACGCCAAAUCACCUAGCAUGCAACCAUCACAACAAUCUACAAUGGACAUAUGCUCACACUCUAAGCCAUAAACAAUUCAUCCACAAUUGCAUACAUAACAGAUACAUUCACAGCAUUAUGCAUACCAUCAUACAUCAUCAGCAUAUUUAUCACAAAAUCAUAUUCAUAUCAUGCCAAAUAAUAAAUCACAGUAUUAGCACACUCUACUAAUACCUAUACUGCUCAAAACAACGGGAUGAUCCCUACUAUAUCAUAACCCAAUAUAGGCCAAACGUCAAAUAUGUACACAAUAUUUGAGUAACAAUUUCCACUUUCCAAACAGUGUUAACCGGUUAACGCCCUGGGUUAACCGUUACGCCAACACAGAACACGCUUCCUGGCACAUUUAACAGUGUUAACCGGUUAACACCCUGGUUAACCGGUUAACGCAAGACACAACAAUAUUUCUCAAUUCAUAACAGUGUUAACCGGUUAACACCCUGGGUUAACCGGUAACGCAAGACAGAAAGCUGUUCCUGCGCUAACACGAAGCAGAAUGCAGAAUUCUCCGCAUUUUCCGCCGUUGGAGGACUUCCGGACCUCCGAUUCCAAUUCCGUAAAAAGCUACACGUUCGGAAAUCACAACUCACCUAAAUAUGAUUCAAUUACAGCUUAAUCAUAACUUAUUCAUCACAAUUUUUUCAGCACUCAUCAUCCCAAUUAGGGUCAAUUCAACGACUUAUUACUACCCAUUACAUGUUAACCCAUAAUACCCAUUAAACGACGAUAAACCCCCUUAACCUGAGUUAAUCCGACAUCCUUUAGCUUCAAGCUUUUCCUUCUCUUCAACCCCUCGUUCUCUUGUUCUUCCUCCUUGCCCUUUUCUCACUUUCUGUCGCUUCUCUGGUUUUCACGUGAAAAACCCUUUUUACCAAAUGGAACUCCUUAUAUAUAUUCCAACUUUAUUAUUCCAAUAAUAAUAAUUCCAAAUAAUAUUCCAAUAAUAAUCCCAUUAUUUAAUUAAAUUAAUAAAUAUACUAUUAACUUAAUUUAAAUAAUUAUCAUAUUUUAUCGGGGUAUUACAGGGGUGAAUUAGGACUUUAUAAAUUUUAUUCUGAUUUGGUGGAUAAAGUUUCUUUUCUUUUCUGGAUUGAUAAGAUAAUGGAAGCGGUAAAGAGCAGAAAGUAAAGAACACCAGGAAUUAUACUGGUUCCCCUCACAAUUUGAGAGUACUCCAGUCCCCUUACAAUGUGUAAGAGAUUUUAUUAUUGUUAGAUCUCCUAAAGCAAUCCUCUAACUAAGUGAUCAAGAACAAUCCUCUUGAAAACUUAACUCACAAGAAAAGAAAACAAUCUUUCCUUUUCUUGACACUUAUAUCCAACAAUCCUGGAUGAUAAGCAACACACAUAAAACCAAACAAUCCUUGGUACUUAGCAUUUUCCAAAAUAAUUUUGAAUGAAUAUGAAUAAUUGUAUUGGACAAGACUUUAAUCAAUUGACUAUAAUCUUCUUCUCUUUCAAUAUGAAGGUUCAAGACAAAAUAAUCUCUAAGUGCUCAAGAGUACUUUUGAAGAAAUUGAUAUGAAAAUUCUAUUUCAAAAGUAUCUGAAUAUGAAAAUAUAGAUGAAAAUGAAUGUAUAGAGAUUUUGUAAAUUGAUUUGAAAGAGGUGAAUUUGAAAUGAAAAUAUAAAUAAUAUUUAUAGUAUGAAUGCAUCCCUUCAAACAUAACAUGGCAAUGGUUAAAAGAGAAAUAUGAGAUUUGUUGAUGAAAGGAUGUAAGGUUUUGCCAUGAAGAGUUAUGAUGAAUUGGUGCAAAAAGUGGUGAAAUAAAAUUUUAGAUUUUUCAAAAAUUUCCCAGCAUCAAUCGAUUGACUCUCAUAACCAAUCGAUUGACAUAACCAAAAAACUGAAAAAUACACUAAGAUCAAUCGAUUGAUAUACAACACCUAUCGAUUGGUCCAGCUUUGAAAAUGAAAAAUGCUAAAACAAAAAGUUUGAUCAAUCGAUUGCAAUAUAGCAUCAAUUGAUUGACACAGGCAAAACUUUGAAAAUUUUCUAAGUUAAAAAACUUUUGAAAAUGCAAUGUUUUAAACAUCAUUUUAAAACAAAAAAUCAUGAUAAAAAAAGUUUUAAAAUGAUCAUAUGAUGUAUGAUAAAAACUUUUGAGCACUAGGAGUAUAUUGUCAAGAAUUCCAUAUACCUUUACUAGAUCCAUGAAAAACUUGAGCAAUGUUAAAAUGAUCUUCCUUUUCAUUAUUUUGAUAUGGAGGGCUUGAUAUGUUGUCUUCAUCAAAAUCUUGUAGGAAGCUUGUCUUCACAUUCUCCCCCUUUUUGAUGAUGACAACCAAUCUUGAAGCUUGAACUCAUACUCCCCAUAUCUCUUGAAAGUACUCAAAUGAAAAACUCCCCCUGCAUAAAACAACACAAGCAAAACACACAUGCAUACAUCUUCUCCCCCUAUGUCAUGAUCAAAAAUAAGGGAAAAGAACACAAUAAAAUCUAAGAGAAAAAUAAACAUUAAAACACACAAAGAUUUUCAAAUGUUACAACACAAAGAACCAAAUAAGUGAUGCAUAACAUAAAACUAGUAUGACAAAAGACAGAAUUGAAGAAGAACAAGUCAUAAAAAUACCACAAGAGAUCCAAUCACUGAUUAUUGUUCCCAUGAUUUGACCCACCACCUUGAUAACCACAUUGAGAAAACUCCCAACGAUCCAUCCUUGAAGAUAAAUGACCAAUCUCGGUCAUAACAUCCGUUCGGAACCCUUGAAGAUAUUCCAUAAUCAUUUGAUUGGAGGGUUGAUCCAGUUGAUCUGCUGAAGGAGGGUUAAAGUCUUCAUCACUAUGGACUUCAGGUUGAGAUUCUUCAUCAUCAUUGUCUAGGUAUUUUACCUCAUGGGUCUGAUGAUUGUAGAUAACUCCCAUCUUCCUAUAGACCUGCUUGAUACUAAUCAUGAAGGAAGGUUUUUCCAAUGAGAAGCACAGUUCAUUCUCCAUGUUGAUGUUGAAAUGACGAAAAAUCUUGGUCAAGAAAUAUGCAUAUGGCAGACCCUCAACAUAUUCAUCAUGGGACAUCAUAUGAGAAAUAAUUGUAUGCCCCCAAUCAACACGAAAAUUAUUUUUGAUGGCAUAUAGGUGCAUCAUUUCCGGAUCUGUUAUAGUGCAGUGAUUUGAGAAUCUAGACACAAUAACAUAAACCAGAAAAUAGUGCAACAUUCUAUCAUCAAUAGAGAACUUUGCUAGGGAACAGUAAACACGCUCCGGGUUAUCUCCUCCAAAACUCUUCUUCCUCUUGUUGUAAAACUGAUGCUCAGACAAACGACUCAAACUAUAGUAGAAAGCAUGUUUUCUAUAGUCUUCCCACGGAGCCUUUGUGCCAACAAACUUGUGACCACCAGUAGGAAUUUCAAGAAUAACACUUAAAUUAGAAGCCUUCAUAGAGAUCGGAACUCCUUUCACCACAAAUGUUAGUUUCCCUUUCUUCUUCACCAUGUUGGAAUAAAACACUUUGACCAAUUCAGGGUAAAAAUUUGUAUUGUAACCAAUGAGGUCACUCAAUCCCAAUUCCUCAAAAAUAGUAGGAAAACUAAACACAUCUUCAGGAAAAGAAACAAAAGAGCCAUACUUUGGCUUCAUUAUUUUCUUUUGGAAGAAGUAAGUCUCGUACCUUUCCUGUUGACUUUUGGUGGUAAAAAGCCUUGACAAAUCUAGAGGGCCUCUAGAACUAGAAACAUUUCCCUUGCCUUUAGAUUUAUGUUGAGAGGCCAUGAAGGUUGCUUGGAGAAAAACAAGGGAUUGAAGGAGAAAGAAAAAGCCUUUGAGUGAAUAAGACAAAUCAUGUAGAAUGCUGAAGAUUUUCAUGAAGAGAGAUGUGGUUUUAUGGUGGUAAAGUGUAGUAAUGAGAAGAAUCAAGUGGUUGGACCAAGAAAAUAAAGAGCAAUGAAUAGAAAUAAAGUGACAUAAAGAGCUUUUAACAAGACUUGGUAAAUAACACUUACUUGAAAAUAGGAAAAGGAGAAGGAAUGGGAGAAAAAAGUGGUAAAAGACAAAAAUGAAUAAAUGAAAUAUGGAAGAGUGUAUCAGUAGAUAUAACAGGAGGCACAUGUGAAGAAAUAAAGUGAGAAAAAAAUAGGAGAGAAAUGAUGUGCAUGCUGAACACAUAAAACAAAAAAAUUUAAAGACCAAUCGAUUGGCAUAGUGAAAAUUUUGAAAAAAUAAGAGGACCAAUCGAUUGAUAUUAAGGAUUCAAUCGAUUGGUUGAUGAAAUAAAUUAAAAAAAAUAAAAAAAUAAGGAAUCAAUCGAUUGAUAUAAGGAUGUAAUCAAUUGAAUGAACUUACUGUAAAACAAAAAUUGAGAAAUUAAGAUGGACCAAUCGAUUGACACAAGACCAACAAUCGAUUGACACUAAACAAAUUUUGAUAAAUGUUUAAAAUUAACACAUCAGCAAACAUACUUAUUAAAUUAAAAACAUUUUCAAUUACAUUUAAACAAUUAAUUACUAAAUAUUAUGAGAAAGAGUGCACCUUUAAAUUUGAAUUGAUGUGUUUUUGAUGAGUUAUAUAUCACACUCAUCUAGAAUCCCAAGUUCCCUUCGAAUUUUGUAAAACAGUUCCCGUGCCAAAGGAUUUUUGAAGAUGUCGGCAAGUUGAUUAUGAGUAUCCACAAAUGUGACUUUGACAUCUCCUUAAACCACGUGGUCACGAAGAAAAUGAUGUUGAAUGUCAAUAUGUUUGGUUCUUGAGUGCAUGACCGGAUUCUUUGUAACGUUUAUCGCACUUGUGUUGUCACAACAAAGAGGAAUGCAUCCAAGCUCGAGUUCGUAUUCACGAAGUUGUUGCUUAAGCCAAAGUAUUUGAGCGCAACAGCUACCUGCUGCUAUGUAUUUCGCUUCGACAGUGCUAAGAGAAACACACACUUGUUUCUUGCAAGUCCAAGAUACUAAUGCAUUUCCAAGGAUGUGACAUGUACCACUAGUACUUUUUCAAUCAAUUUUACUUCCUGCAUAAUCAGCGUCAGAAUAACCAACUAAUUUGCAAAUACUACCUUUAGGAUACCAUAGGCCGGCAUUUAUUGUUCCCUUGAGAUACUUCAUGAUCCUCUUAACAGCGGUGAGAUGUGAUUCUUUUGAAUUGGCUUGAAAACAAGCACAAAGACACACGCUGAACAUAAUAUCAGGACGACUUACCGUCAAAUAAAGUAAGGAACCAAUCAUACCUCGAUACUUUGUUAUGUCAAUCGAAACACCUGAUUCAUUUUGAUCAAUAUAAGAUCCGGAUCCCAUUGGAGUAGACAUUGCCUUGCAACUAUCCAUGUCGAAUCUUUUUAAUAACUCUUUGCAGUACUUCGAUUGGUUUAUGGAAAUGCAAUCCUUUAGUUGCUUAAUUUGAAGUCCAAGAAAAUAGUUCAUCUUACCCAUCAUGGACAUCUCGAAUUCUCCUUGCAUCAUCGAUGAAAAUUCUUCACACAUUUCUUUGUUUGUUGAGCCGAAAAUGAUGUUGUCAACGUAGACUUGAAGCA
Molecule: long non-coding RNA, 30792 nt
Filed under: Lathyrus oleraceus (garden pea)
Lineage: Eukaryota; Viridiplantae; Streptophyta; Magnoliopsida; Fabales; Fabaceae
Description: Pisum sativum (pea) long non-coding RNA (PSAT_LNC037166)
Source: RNAcentral